Molecule: long non-coding RNA, 1762 nt
Organism: Gossypium raimondii (Peruvian cotton)
Lineage: Eukaryota; Viridiplantae; Streptophyta; Magnoliopsida; Malvales; Malvaceae
Exons: 4
Source: RefSeq, a predicted model, not a curated record
GUUGAUCAGAAACAGCUGGCCUCCAUUAUCUUUUCAUUUCCCAUCACCGACCUAGCCAUUAAUAGUAGCAGAUUUCCCCAAAUCUUUUUGCCGUUUGCUACUCCUUCCAACAGUCACCUCUUUGCUCUUAAUCUUAAUAUCUUGGAUUCAUCCUCUCCGCUGCUUGUCGGACGGUAUUCGGAAUCGCCCCAGCCAGGUAAUGUUCUUCUCCCUUCUUUAAAGCUUCUAUUGCAACCAAAUGGGCAAAAAUAUUAUCAGUUCUCGGAAUAUAACAAAAACAAAUACUAUUAAAAUUGGUUUUAAUCUCUUGAAUAUCUUUGAUGAUUGCUCCGAUGACCGAUCUGUCUUGUUCUGAACUCUGACACUUUUUGAUAAUCGUUUUCGAAUCUCCCAUUAUUUGUAAAUCUUUAACCCCAUAGAUCUUCCUAACACUAGGGCUUGUGACCCUGCAUGUGUUUCUACCGCGGAUGGAGUUGCAAUGUUGGUAUGGAUAACUGACUUUGAGACCAAAAUCUCCCCACCCUCGCCUCGAACAAUCAGUCCCGAAGCAUAUCUUGCAUUUUGCUGAUCAAAGGCCGCAUCAAAGUAGACUGAGAUUCUCGUACAUCUCUCAACAGUUCGCGGAACACCAUCUCCUGCCAAAUAAUCCAAAGCCCGCAACAGAAAAGUCGGCACUGUUCGUUUGUCCCGCGACUAAAAACCCAUAGCAUCCACGAAAAAUAUGAUUACAGUCCUCCUCUUCCAGUUUGCAUCGAGGACAUCGAGCAUCUGUAACUGUUCAUUUGAUCUUCAAAUUAGCAAAAGUAGGAAUGUAAUUCCAAGAGAUUCCCAAUAUUGUAACUUUGAUUUUCGGGGGAAUUUGUAAAUCCCAUAGUUUUUUGUAAAAAAAUUUAGUCUCAGUUUGUAAAUCAAUAGGAUUUUGAGUACCCUCCUGUAAUAGUUUGUAGGCGCUCUGAACCGAAAAUUUGCCAGAGGGUUCUCUUCUCCAGACUUGGAAAUCUUCAUUUGCUGUCGUUGCCAAUGGAAUUUGCAAGAUCUUUUUAACAACUUCCGCAUUGAAGAGGUCCUCCCAAAUAGAAAUACGAUCCCCUUUGCCAACUCUCCAGUAGAGACCUUUUUCAAGAAUACCUUUUGCCGACCAGAUACUCUUCCAGGUGAGCGAAGGUAAAUUUCCUAAUUGAGCCGUUAGAAAACACGCAUUCGAAUAAUAUUUAGCUUUCAAUACUCGGGCUAACAAAGAAUCUGGAAAAUUAAUAAGACGCCAACCCUGUUUAGCUAAUAAUGCAAUAUUAAAUUUAUCAAGUUUUCUAAAACCAAGGCCACCUGCUUCUUUCAAGACACACACAUCCUUCCAAGCACACCAAUGGAUCCCCUUCUUUCCCCGAUUUUUCCCCACCAGAAUCUGGCUAUUAUACCUUCCAACUCGUUACAAAGAGACUUAGGAAGUAAAAAACACGCCAUAGAAUAAGUUGGAAUUGACUGUAAUACUACCUUAAUAAAAACCUCUUUUCCACCUUGAGAGAGGUAUUUAACACUCCAGUUAUCAAUUCUUUGUUUUAAUCUGUCCUUUUAGCUUUGAAAAGCUGCUUUCUUUCCUCUGCCCACUAAAUUUGGAAGUCCUAAAUACCUUUCUGGAUUAUUCGAUCUACGAACACCAAGCAUUCGAACAAUAACUCUUUUUUCUUCCUCCUGUGUAUUUGUACUGAAGAAGAUUGUGGAUUUAUUAUAAUUAACACAUUGGCCAGAACUGAGCUCAUAUUCC